AGCACAUUGUAUAUAAAAUAAUUUAUUUUAAAAACAGAUAGUUUGAAGACCAAAUUAAGACAAAUUAGGUGUCAUGAAAUUUUCCCCAUUUUGAAUACAUACAUCGCACUAUAUCUGCAAUAGCUAAGUUUGUCAUGUUUUUACAAAUGAAGAGUUAAUAUGCAGUUAACAAAAUGCUUAGCCUUUUUCUAGAACAAUCUACUAAUGCUGUAUUACUUUAAAUUAAACACACAUAGAACUUACAAAAAUCCACGUGGUAACAACCGGUUCAUUGUCUUCAUAAAUUUUGUCGUCUGCAAAAAAAUCAUGGAAAGGAGAAAAAGACUAUAAAGUAUAUUAAGCUUAAGUAGAAUACAUCUUUCACACAUCAUUUCACAUGAACCUCGAAUUCAUUUUUCCAUAUGCUUGGAAAAAUAAAAAAUAAAAUAAAAUAAAUUUAAGUCGGACAAUGUCUAAGUAGGUGUUGUGCAUGCUAAUCAAAUUACCGAAAAGUAAAAAUUGCUUUAAAGGGACUACAUUUAGAGGCAUACCUACUUUAAGAAAUUAGGAUUUUCCUUCCUAUGCUUUUACUUCACAAAAUGCCCAAAAAACAAAAAAUAAAAAUAAUAAAAAUAAAAAACACCUAGUUAAUAAAAUUGGUUCCAAAAAAAAUAUAACCCAUCACGAAAUCCCAUGUUUAUGCCAGCUCUAAAUUUUAUAGUAAGGCCUAAAAUGUAAUUGAAGUUAAACCCAUAGCUAUAUUUAUUCAUUUAAUUAUUGUUUUCACAUGACCUCGGGCAUGUAGACUAAACUUAUUUUAUCAUCCCGAGUCUUGAACAAAAUUAAUAAAUGAAAGGUUACGACCUUUGUCUACUUUGAUCGAAAUUAAGCUUUUUUCCUUUAAUCUCAAACCAAUAUACAAUUGAAACACGAUCUUUCAGAUUCUGAAUGAGAGAUCCUGAAUUGAAACAAAUGGCACACAAAUAUGUUCUCCCAAUCUAAGGUUUUAUCCAUUGGAUAUGUUAGAAAGUCAACUUUGCACCCAGUUAAGUACUUGUAAACAAAACAAGCUAUAUCCAUGAAGUAAAGAUUCUUGUGAGCCAAAAUAAAAUAAAAUAAAGGGGUUCUAAAUUCAGAAAUAUGUUUAGUCCCACUUUAAUAGGCUAACAUAGUAUUGGAAUAGAUGAUAGAGUUCAUGUUUUGCUAUCACUCAUUUAUGAAAAAUUAUCACGUUUCAUACCUUUAAUGAACUAUAUUUUAGCAUGCAUGUGAGAACUUUGUGUUGAAAGACUAAAGUUGAGUAAACAAUGCAGUUAAUAUAAAUGAAUUUUUUUCUCAGUAG
Molecule: long non-coding RNA, 1321 nt
Filed under: Olea europaea subsp. europaea
Lineage: Eukaryota; Viridiplantae; Streptophyta; Magnoliopsida; Lamiales; Oleaceae
Source: RNAcentral